This 238-nucleotide RNase P RNA is filed under the name Flavobacteriaceae bacterium. RNAcentral describes it as "partial RNase P RNA component class A". It matches the Rfam family "Bacterial RNase P class A", at positions 1 to 292 of the family's 367-position model. From Rfam's summary of the family: Ribonuclease P (RNase P) is a ubiquitous endoribonuclease, found in archaea, bacteria and eukarya as well as chloroplasts and mitochondria. Its best characterised activity is the generation of mature 5'-ends of tRNAs by cleaving the 5'-leader elements of precursor-tRNAs. Cellular RNase Ps are ribonucleoproteins. The record is from RNAcentral. Lineage: Bacteria; Pseudomonadati; Bacteroidota; Flavobacteriia; Flavobacteriales; Flavobacteriaceae.
UAAGCAGAUCGCCUUAUCGCUGCUGUGAUUCGUCACGGUGGAGGAAAGUCCGAACACCAUAGUGCAGCAUAGUGGUUAAUGGCCACCGACCGUGAGGUUAGGAAAAGUGCAACAGAAAGAAUGUACAGGUAAGGCUGUAGUGAAAUCAGGUAAACUCUAUACGGUGCAAUGUCAUGUAUACUAACGUUUGAGUGCGGCACGUACGAUUGUUAGAGGGUAGGCAGCUAGAGUAUAUUGG